GUUAGUGAUCAUGCAUCGUGAUAUAUGUCAAUUCCAUCGUCAUUUGAUACUGUGUCUGUUUGCAUCUAAGAUUGCUCAUUUUUCAUCGGAGAUGUGUAUUGUUGUGUUUGGUGAAUUCGUAGUCGUGCGAUGAUUCUGUACAUGUGCAUUGGAGGUUUGCUUGCCUGGAGUUUCCUUUCUCUGUGGUGGGGACUGUUUUAUGAACUGGCAUAGUUGUUGAACCAGGAAUGGAUUGCAGCGUUUAGUGCUUAAAUUAUAGCUUGAAAGUAUUCCCUAACUGAUUAUGUCAUGGUUUUGAUUGAGAAUUGAUUGGUGAAAUGCUGUCCGAGAGGAUAAUCAGAACAAUUAUCACUGUAUCUUUCCUUGUGGGUUCAUUGGGUGGAAAUGGGUUGGUGUCCCUCAUGAAUGCCAAAGUAUAGAUCAUCUUGGAAGUUGAUAAUUUUGAAUUGUUAAGUUACUGCAUGGCACUAUGAGCCGGUUGAUUGGAAGUAAGUUUCAGCAUCAUGACAAGAUGAUAUAUAUAAUACGUCCAUGAAAAUAUCUCCUUUUCCAUUUAUGAUCAGGACAUUUUCAGUGCAUGGUAACACACAUAAUGUAUCUAUUGCAGUAAUUAGAUACUUUUUACAAUAUAUCCAUCAAGGCUCUGUUAACUUUUUUGACCAAUUUCAACUAUGUAAGUAUAACUACUAACUAACGUCAUGAGAUAAUGUUGACUUCUUGCCUGUUAGUUUGUUGUUCAGCGACUCUAGUAGUUUAUAGCAGCUUUUAGGUUUUAUCCUUUGUUCUAAAGUUGUUUGACAACUAAUACAAGGACUCAAAAUUUGGGAUUUGAUAGGCCAAAAUGGAAAAGACGGUUGAUGAAGAGACCAGGCAGAUUGAUUGGUACCCCAUUCCAUAAGAUGAUGUAGGUCCUCUUAUUUUUCUUAGUGUUAUCUGAGUUAAGAAGCUAGAAGAAUACAGUAUGAAUGAUUUGUGAGCUUAAGAAAUUGUAGUAUCAUAAAGCUUACUGUCUUGGGCCCUACUCAUACAUUUGUUUUGCUGCUCGAAGUGAGUCUGAGAAGUAAUCAAGCUUUCUGGAGAAACUUGUUCAAUUGGUUUGAAAAUGAUUUAGAGAAAAAAAAUUCGCAAAAUUCUUGCAUUUGUGCUGUGCUGCCUUUUUGUGUGUGUUUGAAGUUUCUCGAAAUGUGCUAUUAUGCUCAACAAAUAUGUGCUUAACUAUAACUGGAAAUUAACUUUAUAGUGGUUCACAAUAGAUGUUGGUGUUUUUUUAUUUCAUUUUCCAUGUUGACCGAGAUUGAAAGAUUCUUUGUGCAAAUAGUCUACGAGUGCACAUCUAGAAGAUAUAUUUGGAAUCAUGGGUAUUCCUUAUACUUGUGCACAUAUUUUUUUUUUGUAAAUGGUUCACUAUAUUUAUCCAUGUAUUAGCUCUUGCAUUACAAUUAUGCUGAUCUUUUGUUGCAAAGUAACAUACCCAUAUAUUUUGCAAGUUUGAACUUCAAUUAUAGUUGUCCCAUGUCCAUGUGCUACAUUUCUGGUCGUUUCUUGGAGGCUAAAUGUGCAAGCGACUCCUGUUACCAAUGGUCUCCUCAAACCCUAGAUCAUAAUCAUUAGUUUUGCAAUAAUCAUAACUAAAGGUUGAUUUGACGAUUUCUAUUAGGAAAUGGCGAUGACGUAUGAUGCUUGGGAAGCAGUUUUAAAGCUUGGCAAAGGUGCUGCUGUUAACAACAAAUUGUUUCUAUGGUUACUCUGGUGAUCUUAUCUCAUGAAGAAAGCAUUUAUCCACUGCAAACAGCUACUAAUAUUGUAUAAAAUCUGGCACAUGAACUUAGGGAGGCUAAAAUGAAACCAUUCAUAUCUUCACUUGUUGAAAGUGGAAUCACAUAGCUUACGGAGGUUAUGUCAUACAACAUCACUUGAUGAUUAGAGACUUAUAUUUACCAUGUCACUCAAGGUCAGUGCUGCUGAGUAUGGGUUUUUCUACCGCGGUAGAGUUCUUUAUGUUAUACGGCAUUAGUAGUCUAAGAAACCUUAUCUUCUUUUUCUUUUUUUCUAUAUAUAUUCUGCAAUCUGAGACCUCUGCCCCUCCCCCCUCCCACUGUAGCACUACCGAUUGAGAGUAUCCUUGGAUUUUAUUAAACUGCUAUGAAUAUUUCACUUAAUAUGCACAUUUAAAUGAGUUUGAUUAAAAAAACUCUUGUAUGUGAACUUUACAUUUUUGUAUUCUGAUUAGAGAUUCUGUGGAUAUAUGUUCACUGCCUUGUCUGUGACCUUAUGUGCAGGUACUUAAUCUUCAUUGUUGGUAUCCUUCAAUGCAAGAGUACAAUUCUUGGAGUUUGCAUCUUUUGGAAGCUCAUUCGGCUGGCGCACUUUUCCUGCAUUCUGCAGAGUUCUUAGUGCUAGGUCGUGUCUUAGAUCAAUGGAUGUUAUACUUGCUCCAACUUUUAUAUAAUGAAUAAUCACAUGCUAAUCAACUGUUAUGUGUGCUAUUAACAGUGUCUGAGUCAUGGGUCAGUUUCAUGGAGCGAGGGUUUAAUUUUGCCUUGUUUUCAUGGUGGCCCAAUAUGUUAUAUCUUCUCCGGCCUCGUGCCUCUUAGGGUGUGUUUGGUUGAA
Panicum virgatum (switchgrass) is the source of this 2610-nucleotide RNA transcript. RefSeq lists it as uncharacterized. Lineage: Eukaryota; Viridiplantae; Streptophyta; Magnoliopsida; Poales; Poaceae. The transcript is spliced from 2 exons. The record is from RefSeq and is a predicted model, not a curated record.